This 410-nucleotide ribosomal RNA is filed under the name uncultured microorganism. RNAcentral describes it as "bacterial SSU rRNA". It matches the Rfam family "Bacterial small subunit ribosomal RNA", at positions 509 to 917 of the family's 1533-position model. The record is from RNAcentral.
CAGCCGCCGCGGUAAUACGUAGGGGGCGAGCGUUGUCCGGAAUUAUUGGGCGUAAAGCGCGCGCAGGCGGUCCCUUAAGUCUGAUGUGAAAGCCCACGGCUCAACCGUGGAGGGUCAUUGGAAACUGGGGGACUUGAGUGCAGAAGAGGAGAGCGGAAUUCCACGUGUAGCGGUGAAAUGCGUAGAGAUGUGGAGGAACACCAGUGGCGAAGGCGGCUCUCUGGUCUGUAACUGACGCUGAGGCGCGAAAGCGUGGGGAGCAAACAGGAUUAGAUACCCUGGUAGUCCACGCCGUAAACGAUGAGUGCUAAGUGGUAGAGGGGUUAAACCCUUUAGUGCUGUAGCUAACGCGUUAAGCACUCCGCCUGGGGAGUACGGCCGCAAGGCUGAAACUUAAAGGAAUUGGCGGG